UUUUCCAUCGACCACAAGCGCUCGCACUGACCCGCACACGCCGCUGACAGAUGCCGUCAAUCGCCACAAGAGAGUUUGCCCUCCAUCAACGUUGCACGCUUUCCUCGCUCUCUUUGUGCAGCAGAAACGGAAACGAAAAGGGGUGCGCGUGGUCUGAGAGUGUAACCACGAAAUGGGUGCGAUGAAGAGGCGGCGCGUGCAGUGCGUGGCUCCGCCGCUGUUCGUGCUGCGCUGUGCGAUUUGCGCUCCCUUUCUCCCGCCCCCUCUUUACUGUGUUCUUCGGCUCGACGCUGCUGAAAACGCUCGCCGCCCCUACUCUCCUCCCCUCCUGCCUCACGCUGUCGCUUCCCCGUCCACACGCUCGCCUCGCUGCCCACUCCGUGUCUAUGUGCUGCGUAGCCUCGCUGACUUCGUUGAUGGGCCCGCACGGCUGCGACGCGGCAAGGUGCGAUUCUGUCGGGUGCGGCCUCUCAGCGAGUGCUUCCGCGCGGCAUUUGUGGGCGAGCGCAUCCACGAGCACAUGCGUAUGUGGUGUGACAUUUGUUUGGGCGGAUCAUGCAUGGGCAGACUGCGAUGAGCCUGCUGUGUAGGCCUUGUCAUCCUCUGCGUAUGGCCUCCUUGAGGUUUGGUUUUUCACGUCGCCGUGUUUCUCCCCUUUCGGGGUGGCAUUUCUCUUUUGCCAUGCGUAAGAAGCAAACGUCCUCCCCACCCGCCUCGCCCCUCGCAUGCCACGUACACUACUGCGAAGGAGGCUGUUACAGUCUCACCCGCAGCAGCAUGUCUCUGCAGCCAUUUGCUGUGUGCACUCGCCUGUCCGCGUGCGUCGUGUCCUUUCACGAUGUUUGUGCCUCGAAGCGGGAUGCGCGCAUGCGAUGCCGGUUCUCUUGUUGUUGGGCUCUCCAAUGUCUGUCGGCAACUCUGUGCCCUACGACGCUGCUGCACGUCUACCAGUCGUGCUUGCGGUGAGGUGCACACGCACAAGGAAACGACAUCAAUAGGAAAACGGCAAGAGCUCGAGGGUGCUCCGAAAGCACUCCAGUAAAGAGAGUUGGUCGGACCGGUGUCACUUUUUGCGUGUUUACGGUACAUCGGGUGCGCGCACAUGUUUUCUUUUUUUUUUGACCGCGUCGUUGCUCGCGUGCUUUCCUUUUCCUCUUCGCCUUCGGUCGUGCCUCCGUGCUUGAUGUGCCUUCUCUGUCUCACUCUUACUUCGGAUGCGAAAGCGAAUCAACGCCCAGUGCACGAGGUGCGCGGGCGCUUGUCUCAAGGCCGUGGGCCACGAGUGAGCGGGCUCAUCUUCUCCCUCUUUUGGUUGGUCCGGCCGGUGGCUGCUCCUUCUGCGCGCUACAUGUUUUCGCUUUUUUUUCCUCCACAACCGUGGUCCCUCCUCCUUGGCGGUGAUGUCUUUCUCCCAGCCAGCUAGCGUAUGCCGCAGUCUCUGGAUGGUGUUGUGUCGACGAAUGUUCCGGUGCUGGCGUAACGAGAACCAACGGCAAAGCCUAAACAAACAAAAAACGAAGUCCGCCACCGCUGCGCAUCGCCGAAGGGAACGCCAGACUUUGCGUGCGCCCCACCUAACGUUUUCCUGUGUUUUGUUUUUCGCAUCUAUUCAGCUUGAGUGCUCCGCGCCCCGCCCCACUGUUGAUCCUGCGUGGCUGCGGAUCGGGCGAGGCGUAUUUGACACGCGCCCGCCCGCCCCAUCGAGACAGCGUUUGUCGCGCCAGCCUCCACGCUGUGAAACCCAACGCACUCGAUGGUUUAGGGCACCACUGCAGAGUGGAUUAUACGAUCAGACACUUGACGCUCUUCUCUGCAGCCACAAAAACGAAGGUGCGGUUGUGUUGUUUUACAGCACACGCACCUGCUUUCGCUCUCUACUCUGCCGUCGCUUUUCUUCUUUUCAG
Molecule: unclassified non-coding RNA, 1904 nt
Filed under: Leishmania donovani
Lineage: Eukaryota; Euglenozoa; Kinetoplastea; Trypanosomatida; Trypanosomatidae
Description: gene:unknown
Source: RNAcentral